CGUUCCCCUGCAUGUCGCGGCGCCGCCGUCUCUGCCCCCGCCUCCUCCCCCGGCGCCCGUCACCAUGAUCAUCUCCAAGAAGAACCGCCGCGAGAUCUGCAAGUACCUCUUCCAGGAGGGAGUCUUGUAUGCCAAGAAGGACUACAACCUGGCCAAGCACCCCCAGGUCGAUGCCUUGAAC
Molecule: non-coding RNA, 181 nt
Organism: Triticum urartu
Lineage: Eukaryota; Viridiplantae; Streptophyta; Magnoliopsida; Poales; Poaceae
Source: RefSeq, a predicted model, not a curated record